UCCAGCUUAUCGCUGGCGGUCUCCUGCGAGUUCCUCCCUUUCGGGUCUGGCAACACAGGACAAGGGUUGCGCUCGUUGCGGGACUUAACCCAACAUCUCACGACACGAGCUGACGACAGCCAUGCAGCACCUCGACUCCACUCCCUUGCGGGAUAAGAGCGUUUCCGCUCCCGUUGAGAAGCCGUUCGAGCCCAGGUAAGGUUCUUCGCGUUGCGUCGAAUUGAACCACAUGCUCCACCGCUUGUGCGGGCCCCCGUCAAUUCCUUUGAGUUUCAGCCUUGCGACUGUACUCCCCAGGCGGCAUAUUUAACGCGUUAGCUCCGGCACGGACAGAAUGAACUGCCCACACCAAAUAUGCAUCGUUUAGGGCGUGGACUAC
This 379-nucleotide unclassified non-coding RNA is filed under the name uncultured Bryobacterales bacterium. RNAcentral describes it as "contains 16S-23S intergenic spacer region". The record is from RNAcentral. Lineage: Bacteria; Pseudomonadati; Acidobacteriota; Terriglobia; Bryobacterales.